RNAcentral lists this ribosomal RNA (274 nucleotides) under uncultured bacterium. Its description in RNAcentral is "partial 16S ribosomal RNA". It matches the Rfam family "Bacterial small subunit ribosomal RNA", at positions 523 to 796 of the family's 1533-position model. The record is from RNAcentral.
AUACGGAAGGGGCAAACGUUGUUCGGAUUCACUGGGCGUAAAGCGACCGCAGGCGGUCUAUUAAGUCAGAUGUGAAAGCCCCGCGCUCAACGUGGGAACUGCAUUUGAAACUGAUAGACUAGAAUUCGAGAGGGGAAAAUGGAAUUCCAAGUGUAGAGGUGAAAUUCGUAGAUAUUUGGAGGAACACCAGAGGCGAAGGCGAUUUUCUGGCUCGAUACUGACGCUCAGGGUCGAAAGCGUGGGGAGCAAACAGGAUUAGAAACCCUGGUAGUCC